GGGGCCAUAGCUCAGCUGGGAGAGCGACCGCCUUGCAAGCGGUAGGUCAGCGGUUCGAAUCCGCUUGGCUCCACCA
Molecule: transfer RNA, 76 nt
Filed under: Deinococcota bacterium
Lineage: Bacteria; Thermotogati; Deinococcota
Also listed under: 1 other name
Description: tRNA-Ala
Rfam family: tRNA
About the family: Transfer RNA (tRNA) molecules are approximately 80 nucleotides in length. Their secondary structure includes four short double-helical elements and three loops (D, anti-codon, and T loops).
Source: RNAcentral